This is a long non-coding RNA of Archocentrus centrarchus (flier cichlid), 376 nucleotides long. RefSeq lists it as uncharacterized. Lineage: Eukaryota; Metazoa; Chordata; Actinopteri; Cichliformes; Cichlidae. The record is from RefSeq and is a predicted model, not a curated record. The transcript has 3 exons.
CAAAGAACAGUCGGCAUGGCGGAUGGACCGGAGACGCAAACCCCCAGACCGGAGUCAAUGCUAUUCAACGGCCGGUAGUGAGCAGCGGAGGCGUUUCGGGUUCCUCUUGUGAUGGAGAGUGCCUACCCUGAAGUAGGAGCUAAAAAAGACCUCAGAAAAAAGGCUUCUAAGAGCUUUGAUGGCUCCACGUUCCUGCAGUGUGACGACCCAAAAGACUGGAGACCUCUUACAUGAGCUACAAGACUCGCCUCAGACACACACAUGGACAGAGAAGUGUUGUCUUGUUCCUCGCCAGUUUGGCUCUCCCAGUCCUCCGGAGGCCGGCCUUCCCCUCUGGGGGCUUCCUGGAGCUCUGACGUAUCUGGAGGGCUACUGG